Molecule: ribosomal RNA, 458 nt
Filed under: uncultured bacterium
Lineage: Bacteria
Description: partial 16S ribosomal RNA
Rfam family: Bacterial small subunit ribosomal RNA
Source: RNAcentral
CCUACGUGUGGCAGCAGUGAGGAAUAUUGGUCAAUGGGCGAGAGCCUGAACCAGCCAAGUCGCGUGGGGGAGUACUGACCUAUGGGUUGUAAACCUCUUUUGUCGGGGAGCAAAAGCCGGAAGGGUCCGGCUGGGAGAGUACCCGAAGAAAAAGCAUCGGCUAACUCCGUGCCAGCAGCCGCGGGAAUACGGGGGAUGUGAGAGUGAUCCGGUUAUAUUGGGUUUAAAGGGGGCGCAGACGGAUUAUUAAGUCUGCGGGAAAAUAGGGGGGCUCAACCCCAUCCAGCCGUUGACACUGGGGUUCUAGAGUGUUCGAGAGGUAUGCGGAAUGCGUGGUGUAGCGGUGAAAUGCAUAGAUAUCACGCAGAACCCCGAUUGCGAAGGCAGCAUACCGGUGCACAACUGACGCUCAGGCACGAAAGCGUGGGUAUCGAACAGGAUUAGAUACCCCAGUAGUC